This 124-nucleotide small RNA is filed under the name Erwinia psidii. RNAcentral describes it as "RtT sRNA". It matches the Rfam family "RtT RNA". Rfam says of the family: This family represents a bacterial cis-regulatory element known as RtT RNA. The exact function of RtT is unknown although it is thought that it may be involved in changing the cellular response in relation to amino acid starvation. The record is from RNAcentral. Lineage: Bacteria; Pseudomonadati; Pseudomonadota; Gammaproteobacteria; Enterobacterales; Erwiniaceae.
UACAGAUAUAAAUCGUGAAGGAUUUGAACCUGAGCAGGUUUGGUUUGAGCAACGUGAAACAACGUUGCCAGCGGCGACGGGCCUAAGGCCGAGGCGUAGCCGAGUUAUCCUGCACGACCCACCA